Molecule: long non-coding RNA, 1450 nt
Organism: Mirounga angustirostris (Northern elephant seal)
Lineage: Eukaryota; Metazoa; Chordata; Mammalia; Carnivora; Phocidae
Exons: 4
Source: RefSeq, a predicted model, not a curated record
UGCCUUACCACCUUCCCAUCACAUGCUUUCUGCUCAGGUUUUAUAAGCAGCGUGAUGUGUAGAGCAGUAUAAAGCAUUGCGGAUAUGCUCACAAACACUGGUGAUAUUUGCAAAUGUGGACAGGAUCAGGAAAGAAAAACACAUCCUGUGAGCUCAGGAACAAUGUCAAGGGUGUUAUCUGCAUUUGUGUAUCUUGGCAACAGACUUUAUACACUCUCAGACAUACCAUAAGAACUACUAAUGUGCUUCAUCUGGGGUCGCCACCCCAGGUCCUAUGAGGAGCAUAAUGGAAGUAGAAUAUAUCCACUGUGUUGCUUUUCUAAACAUAGAAAACAUCUGAAUUCACAAAGAUAUUUGGAUUUAAGGGUUUCAGUUCUUGAAGGUGUUCAAAAUAUAUGCUGUUGUCUGGUGAAGACAAAUGGAAACCUGCGCAUGCUACUCGGUCCAGUCUCCCAUCUUUCAGCCAACGAGGAGGCCCAGUGCAGCUCCAGCUCCUGCACCUGGGUUUGGGGAGCGGGGACAGGUCAUCCCCACUCUCAGGUCCUCAAGCCCGUCUGGGGUCAUCCUGCACCCCUGCCCAGGAUGCAGCGAGAGAGGGCAGGGUGCAGCUCUUCGUGGAGACGUUGUCACAGUCUGAUUUCCAGGCGGCCCGUCCUGGUCUCCUUGUCCUCUCUCUCCUCAGAGGGUCUCUGUCUAAUCUCAGAAAGGGAGGACAGCAGCCAGAAUAAGAUAAAAUAUUCUGCAAUAUCUAUUAUUAGACCAGGACCCUGGGCCCAUGAUGGCAAAAUGUUGGUAAUUCAAAAGCCAUUUUGUUCUCAAAUGUAUUAACAUGGGCAUCAAAAUUCUAUCUUAAAACUCAGUGCUGAGCAUAACUCAUGUAAUACUCUGUAUAUAUUACAGUAAAGACAUUUUCCUGAGGGCAGAUGUGGAGGUGGAGGGUUUUUGCUUCUCAGGACUCGGGUUGACAUUGGGUUCAUAUGCCAGUUCAUACAAGAACAUGUUUAUCAUCACAUAUUUGUUAGAAUUUCAUACUUUUGUCUCAAUUUUUAUAAUAAGAUACUUUUGAUAAAUGAUUCCCUUUUUAAGGCCAAUACACAAGGGUAAUAGAAACAGAGUUUGAAUUUUUAAAGUAUGUCAAUAUUGUAAAAUUCUGAGGUUACAGGGGUGGAAAAUGUGAAGUUAUUUCAUUUUCAAUAUCCCUGGAAAUAGACUACUUCACAGAUCUUUUUUUUACCAUACGAAAAUAUGAUUUGCUGGGGCUCCUGGGUGGCUCAGCCGUUAAGUGCUUGCCUUCGGCUCAGGUCAUGAUCCUAGGGCCCUGGGAUCAAAACCCCGCAUCAGGCUCCCUGCUCAGCCGGGAGCCUGCUUCUCCCUCUCCCGCUCCCCCUGCUUGUGUUCCCUCUCUCAUUGUGUCUCUCUCUCUGUCAAAUAAAUAAAAUCUUUAAAAAAA